Vicugna pacos (alpaca) is the source of this 304-nucleotide non-coding RNA. Lineage: Eukaryota; Metazoa; Chordata; Mammalia; Artiodactyla; Camelidae. The record is from RefSeq and is a predicted model, not a curated record.
UUAUUUAUGUUUUUUUUUUUUAAUUACUAGAAUAAAACUUCCUCCAGGGAGUAAGCCUGUGUUGUUCAUCUUGAUAUCUUCAGCACCUAAACUCAAGCUCGGCACAUUUCUGAUUACAGGUGGAAGUUUUGUGAAAUUAGGAAGUCCGGGAGCACUGCGGUAGAGGAUCUCUGACCCUGGAGGAUGGCACUGCAUAAACUGGAGGUUCCUAGACAUCUGGGACAACUCUCACUUGGAAAAGCCUUGGAAACGCCCAGGAGACGAACAGCAGACAGAUGUGGCCAAGUGAUAUUUGGAGGCAGAG